GACGAACGCUGGCGGCAUGCUUAACACGUGCAAGUCGAACGGAAAGGCCCUGCUUUUGUGGGGUGCUCGAGUGGCGAACGGGUGAGUAACACGUGAGUAACCUGCCCUUGACUUUGGGAUAACUUCAGGAAACUGGGGCUAAUACCGGAUAGGAGCUCCUGCUGCAUGGUGGGGGUUGGAAAGUUUCGGCGGUUGGGGAUGGACUCGCGGCUUAUCAGCUUGUUGGUGGGGUAGUGGCUUACCAAGGCUUUGACGGGUAGCCGGCCUGAGAGGGUGACCGGCCACAUUGGGACUGAGAUACGGCCCAGACUCCUACGGGAGGCAGCAGUGGGGAAUAUUGCACAAUGGGCGGAAGCCUGAUGCAGCAACGCCGCGUGCGGGAUGACGGCCUUCGGGUUGUAAACCGCUUUCGCCUGUGACGAAGCGUGAGUGACGGUAAUGGGUAAAGAAGCACCGGCUAACUACGUG
This 468-nucleotide ribosomal RNA is filed under the name uncultured bacterium. Its description in RNAcentral is "partial 16S ribosomal RNA". It matches the Rfam family "Bacterial small subunit ribosomal RNA", at positions 28 to 507 of the family's 1533-position model. The record is from RNAcentral.